AUCCAGCUGAUGAGUCACGAAUAGGACGAAAUGCGCAUCCUAGUGGAU
This 48-nucleotide non-coding RNA is filed under the name Trichobilharzia regenti. The record is from RNAcentral. Lineage: Eukaryota; Metazoa; Platyhelminthes; Trematoda; Strigeidida; Schistosomatidae.